UUUGCCCUCAGAAGUACUAUGUCACUUGUGUGUCAGUGGGUGGCAGAGAGGACAGAGAUUAAGCCUAUACUCAGUGUUCUGACCUAUGAACAUCUGAAAGAUUAGUAGCUUAGCAU
Molecule: small nucleolar RNA, 116 nt
Organism: Rattus norvegicus (Norway rat)
Lineage: Eukaryota; Metazoa; Chordata; Mammalia; Rodentia; Muridae
Product: small nucleolar RNA SNORA17
Source: Ensembl